UACGUAGGGGGCGAGCGUUAUCCGGAAUUAUUGGGCGUAAAGAGUGCGUAGGUGGUCUUGUAAGCGUGGGUGAAAGGCAGUGGCUUAACCAUUGUUAGCCUUGCGAACUGUGAGACUUGAGUGCAGGAGAGGAAAGUGGAAUUCCUAGUGUAGCGGUGAAAUGCGUAGAUAUUAGGAGGAACACCAGUGGCGAAGGCGACUUUCUGGACUGUAACUGACACUGAGGCACGAAAGCGUGGGGAGCAAACAGGAUUAGAUACCCUGGUAGU
Molecule: ribosomal RNA, 269 nt
Filed under: uncultured prokaryote
Description: partial 16S ribosomal RNA
Rfam family: Bacterial small subunit ribosomal RNA
Source: RNAcentral